RNAcentral lists this ribosomal RNA (490 nucleotides) under uncultured bacterium. Its description in RNAcentral is "partial 16S ribosomal RNA". It matches the Rfam family "Bacterial small subunit ribosomal RNA", at positions 30 to 507 of the family's 1533-position model. The record is from RNAcentral.
AUUGAACGCUGGCGGCAUGCCUUACACAUGCAAGUCGAACGGCAGCAUGAUCUAGCUUGCUAGAUUGAUGGCGAGUGGCGAACGGGUGAGUAAUACAUCGGAACGUGCCCUGUAGUGGGGGAUAACUAGUCGAAAGAUUAGCUAAUACCGCAUACGACCUGAGGGUGAAAGUGGGGGACCGCAAGGCCUCAUGCUAUAGGAGCGGCCGAUGUCUGAUUAGCUAGUUGGUGAGGUAAAGGCUCACCAAGGCGACGAUCAGUAGCUGGUCUGAGAGGACGAUCAGCCACACUGGGACUGAGACACGGCCCAGACUCCUACGGGAGGCAGCAGUGGGGAAUUUUGGACAAUGGGCGAAAGCCUGAUCCAGCAAUGCCGCGUGUGUGAAGAAGGCCUUCGGGUUGUAAAGCACUUUUGUCCGGAAAGAAAUGGCUCUGGUUAAUACCUGGGGUAGAUGACGGUACCGGAAGAAUAAGAACCGGCUAACUACGUG